This 453-nucleotide ribosomal RNA is filed under the name uncultured bacterium. Its description in RNAcentral is "bacterial SSU rRNA". It matches the Rfam family "Bacterial small subunit ribosomal RNA", at positions 37 to 507 of the family's 1533-position model. The record is from RNAcentral.
UGGCGGCGUGCUUAACACAUGCAAGUCGAACGGAAAGGCCCGUUCGGGGUACUCGAGUGGCGAACGGGUGAGUAACACGUGGGUGAUCUGCCCUGCACUCUGGGAUAAGCCUGGGAAACUGGGUCUAAUACCGGAUAUGAUCAUGCGCCUCAUGGUGUGUGGUGGAAAGCUUUUGCGGUGUGGGAUGGGCCCGCGGCCUAUCAGCUUGUUGGUGGGGUAAUGGCCUACCAAGGCGACGACGGGUAGCCGGCCUGAGAGGGUGACCGGCCACACUGGGACUGAGAUACGGCCCAGACUCCUACGGGAGGCAGCAGUGGGGAAUAUUGCACAAUGGGCGCAAGCCUGAUGCAGCGACGCCGCGUGGGGAUGACGGCCUUCGGGUUGUAAACCUCUUUCAGUACCGACGAAGCGUAAGUGACGGUAGGUACAGAAGAAGCACCGGCCAACUACGUG